Molecule: ribosomal RNA, 507 nt
Filed under: uncultured bacterium
Lineage: Bacteria
Description: partial 16S ribosomal RNA
Source: RNAcentral
GGAGUUAUCCGGUGCUUCUUCUGUGAGUGAUGUCCUUCCUGCCGGCUAUUAACCCGCAGGCCUUCUUCCUCACUGAAAGUGCUUUACAACCCGAAGGCCUUCUUCACACACGCGGCAUGGCUGGAUCAGGGUUGCCCCCAUUGUCCAAUAUUCCCCACUGCUGCCUCCCGUAGGAGUCUGGGCCGUGUCUCAGUCCCAGUGUGGCUGAUCAUCCUCUCAGACCAGCUACGGAUCGUCGCCUUGGUAAGCCGUUACCUCACCAACCAGCUAAUCCGACAUAGGCUCAUCCGAUAGCGCGAGGCCCGAAGGUCCCCCGCUUUCCCCCGUAGGGCGUAUGCGGUAUUAGCCUGGGUUUCCCCAGGUUAUCCCCCACUACCGGGCAGAUUCCUAUGCAUUACUCACCCGUCCGCCGCUCGCCACCAGGGAGCAAGCUCCCCGUGCUGCCGCUCGACUUGCAUGUGUUAGGCCUGCCGCCAGCGUUCAAUCUGAGCCAUGAUCAAACUCUGA